This 822-nucleotide ribosomal RNA is filed under the name uncultured microorganism. Its description in RNAcentral is "bacterial SSU rRNA". It matches the Rfam family "Bacterial small subunit ribosomal RNA", at positions 56 to 878 of the family's 1533-position model. The record is from RNAcentral.
UGCAAGUCAACUGAAUUUGAGGUAGCAAUAUCUCAAGUAAGGUGGCGCACGGGUGAGUAACACGUAGGUAAUCUGCCUUUAGGACUGACAUAACCUAUCGAAAGGUAGGCUAAUUUCAGAUGAUGCAGCGGCUCGACAUCGAGACAGUUGUUAAACCUUCGGGGCCUAAAGAUGAGCCUGCGUCUGAUUAGGUAGUUGGCGGAGUAAAAGCCCACCAAGCCUGCGAUCAGUAGCUGGUCUGAGAGGAUGAUCAGCCACACUGGAACUGAGACACGGUCCAGACUCCUACGGGAGGCAGCAGUAAGGAAUAUUGCUCAAUGGCCGAAAGGCUGAAGCAGCAACGCCGCGUGGAGGAUGAAAUACUUUUGUAUGUAAACUCCUGUAAGAGGGGAAAAAUAUCUCAUUAUUUGAGAUUGAUUGUACCCUCAGAGUAAGCACCGGCUAACUACGUGCCAGCAGCCGCGGUAAUACGUAGGGUGCUAGAGUUGUCCGGAUUUACUGGGUGUAAAGGGUGCUCAGGUGGAUUUGUAAGUCAGAGGUGAAAUCCCAAAGCUUAACUUUGGUGCUGCCUUUGAUACUGCAAGUCUGGAGUUUGAGAGAGGGCAAUGGAAUAUCUGGUGUAGCAGUGAAAUGCGUAGAUAUCAGAUAGAACACCAAUGGCGAAGGCAGUUGCCUGGCUCAAAACUGACGCUAAAGCACGAAAGUGUGGGGAGCAAACAGGAUUAGAUACCCUGGUAGUCCACACCCUAAACGAUGAAUACUAGAUGUUGGUCCUUUUUAGGAUCAGUAUCCAAGCUAACGCAUUAAGUAUUCCACCUGGGG